CGUCUGUACUUGCAAUUUGACUUUAGCGCUAGAGUAUCAUGACUUUUCUUACACUUAAGUCUUUUGUUCUGUAAUGAAUUAAUAUCCUGUAACAGCCCAAAGAUUAAAAUUCAUUAUCCUGACAACAGAUGUAUGUCUACUUUGACUUGAUCAGACAUCACCCAGUCUGGAAGAAAAGUCCAGGCAGUAAAGCAGAGCAAAGGGAUCAUGUGAUCAUUUAAAAAAUUCUAAUAUCAUAAUUUGUUUUUUCUGUAUUUUUUAUUUGGUGCUUUCACCACCAGUGAACGGCCAUCUGGUUCCAUUCAGGAGGAUGCAGGCGUCUGUACAGUCGAUAUCUCCAAAACUCUGGAACUCACACUGAAACAAUGCAGAUGGAUAAAUAGAACUACAGUUUCAAACUUUUGGCCCGGAUCUGGCGUAGGGCACAAGGCACCAGCUUAGAGGCGUGUGGAAUAAUGAGUGACAGCAUCACAAAGAAGGCUGAGGACCUUCCUCUAUCACGUUGGCUUCAGGGAACAACAGUACUGUGAGAGCCAGGGGUCCUCAGAGAUCACUUUAACAGCAACUGCAGGGCCAGACUACAACAGAACAAGACGUCUUUUAUUCAUAACUACCAGCAGCACUGAGCUGAAGCACUUCAACUGGAGGCAUCACAGCCUUACAACACAAAGUAGGGACAAGGUUCUGCACCAGAGACAAAAAAGGAAAAUGAAGAAACAUCCCUGCAUAUUUUAUCACGUAAAAAAAAGCAUGGGAGGCUGAAUGGAAAUAUAAAGAGAUACAAAGAGUUGCUGAAUAGUUCCUUCACUGGAAGGCCCUGCAUCUUUAGUGAUAAAA
Molecule: long non-coding RNA, 837 nt
Organism: Scatophagus argus
Lineage: Eukaryota; Metazoa; Chordata; Actinopteri; Scatophagidae
Exons: 3
Source: RefSeq, a predicted model, not a curated record